RNAcentral lists this ribosomal RNA (1014 nucleotides) under uncultured bacterium. Its description in RNAcentral is "bacterial SSU rRNA". It matches the Rfam family "Bacterial small subunit ribosomal RNA", at positions 355 to 1375 of the family's 1533-position model. The record is from RNAcentral.
UGGGGAAUAUUGCACAAUGGGCGCAAGCCUGAUGCAGCGACCCCGCGUGCGGGAUGACGGCCUUCGGGUUGUAAACCGCUUUUGACUGGGAGCAAGCCCUUCGGGGUGAGUGUACCUUUCGAAUAAGCACCGGCUAACUACGUGCCAGCAGCCGCGGUAAUACGUAGGGUGCAAGCGUUAUCCGGAAUUAUUGGGCGUAAAGGGCUCGUAGGCGGUUCGUCGCGUCCGGUGUGAAAGUCCAUCGCUUAACGGUGGAUCCGCGCCGGGUACGGGCGGGCUUGAGUGCGGUAGGGGAGACUGGAAUUCCCGGUGUAACGGUGGAAUGUGUAGAUAUCGGGAAGAACACCAAUGGCGAAGGCAGGUCUCUGGGCCGUCACUGACGCUGAGGAGCGAAAGCGUGGGGAGCGAACAGGAUUAGAUACCCUGGUAGUCCACGCCGUAAACGGUGGAUGCUGGAUGUGGGGACCAUUCCACGGUCUCCGUGUCGGAGCCAACGCGUUAAGCAUCCCGCCUGGGGAGUACGGCCGCAAGGCUAAAACUCAAAGAAAUUGACGGGGGCCCGCACAAGCGGCGGAGCAUGCGGAUUAAUUCGAUGCAACGCGAAGAACCUUACCUGGGCUUGACAUGUUCCCGACAGCCCCAGAGAUGGGGCCUCCCUUCGGGGCGGGUUCACAGGUGGUGCAUGGUCGUCGUCAGCUCGUGUCGUGAGAUGUUGGGUUAAGUCCCGCAACGAGCGCAACCCUCGCCCUGUGUUGCCAGCACGUCGUGGUGGGAACUCACGGGGGACCGCCGGGGUCAACUCGGAGGAAGGUGGGGAUGACGUCAGAUCAUCAUGCCCCUUACGUCCAGGGCUUCACGCAUGCUACAAUGGCCGGUACAACGGGAUGCGACACCGCGAGGUGGAGCGGAUCCCUUAAAACCGGUCUCAGUUCGGAUUGGAGUCUGCAACCCGACUCCAUGAAGGCGGAGUCGCUAGUAAUCGCGGAUCAGCAACGCCGCGGUGAAUGCGUUCCC